UACGUAGGGCGCAAGCGUUAUCCGGAUUUAUUGGGCGUAAGGAGCUUGUAGGCGGUUCGUCGCGUCUGGUGUGAAAGCCCAUCGCUUAACGGUGGGUCUGCGCCGGGUACGGGCGGGCUAGAGUGCAGUAGGGGAAACUGGAAUUCUCGGUGUAACGGUGGAAUGUGUAGAUAUCGGGAAGAACACCAAUGGCGAAGGCAGGUUUCUGGGCUGUUACUGACGCUGAGAAGCGAAAGCGUGGGGAGCGAACAGGAUUAGAUACCCUGGUAGUCAAGGGCGAAUUCGUU
This 287-nucleotide ribosomal RNA is filed under the name uncultured Bifidobacteriales bacterium. Its description in RNAcentral is "partial 16S ribosomal RNA". It matches the Rfam family "Bacterial small subunit ribosomal RNA", at positions 524 to 810 of the family's 1533-position model. Lineage: Bacteria; Bacillati; Actinomycetota; Actinomycetes; Bifidobacteriales. The record is from RNAcentral.